RNAcentral lists this long non-coding RNA (1448 nucleotides) under Homo sapiens (human). RNAcentral describes it as "HSALNT0349087". Lineage: Eukaryota; Metazoa; Chordata; Mammalia; Primates; Hominidae. The record is from RNAcentral.
CUAGCAGUGGCAACCUGCUCGGGUCCCCUGCCACACUAUGGAAGCUUUGUUCUUUUGCUCUUUGCAAUAAAUCUUGCUACUGCUUACUCUUUGGGUCCACACUGCCUUCAUGAGCUGUAACACUCACCGGGAAGGUCUGCAACUUCACUCCUGAGCCAGCGAGACCACGAGCCCACUGGAAGGAACAAACUCCCGCACGCCGCCUUUAAGAACUGUAACACUCACAGAGAGGGCCCGCGGCUUCAUUCCCGAAGUCAGUGAGACCAAGAACCAACCAAUUCCGGGCACGUUUCUUUUUCUGCAUCCGCUGCUCUGUUAAGUGAUCACCACAUUCAUUGUUCUCGUUUCUAUUAUUUCUGAAAAAAAUCUUCAGGAUUCUGCUUGUGGGAGUGGAUGACAUUUUUACAGUGUUUACAGGCUGAAAAUUUUUCGAGCUUUUAUGCUCUGCUUCCGUUAUAAGGAGGAGGCCUCACAAUCCUGGUGGAAGGCAAGGAGGAGCAAGUCACAUCUUAUGUGGAUGGCAGCAGGCAAAGAAAGCUUAUGCAGACACAAAAUGAACAAGAUGUCUGUGGCAACCCUCAGACCAUUGACGCCUUCUCUCCUAUGUAUCAAAUCACACAUUUGGACGUUGACUGAACCCUCACAUGUCAGAUGCUCAAUAUUGAGGUAUAGUAAAAGGGAGCAUGAACUUGAGAAAAUACGCUUUCAACACAAAGCUGUAAUAAUAUAAGGUCAAAUAAGAUUCUGCAUUGGAGAUAGAAAACUCUGAAGGAAGCUUUAUCUAUUCCAGAAUGUCAUAUAGCUGGUAUAAGGUUGUCUUCAUUCAUUUCCACAGUUUCUCUGGAGGUUCCAACAAGAUACGGUCUCCAUUGCCCAUUGCUCUGGACCCCAGCCAUCACCCAGUGCAGCAGUGAUGCCUUAUGACAAGUCAGCACCUGGUCUGAACUCUGCUCUCUUUGCACUGAAUUCUUUGAGUUUUUAUUCCAAGUUCAGUCAUUGGUUUUAGUAUUGGUUCCCAUCUGCUUGGCAUCCUUGGUGGAAUUGGGCUUCUUUUUUCAAUUUCUUUUUGCUGUCUUUUUGUUUUACUGUGUUGAGUAGUGCUAUCUAAAUGUGUUUAUCAUAAAAGAAGCAGCACAUGAUCAUAGGCCCAUGAGCCUGUUUUUCAAGCCAGCCAAACAGCACAUUUAGUUUGACAUUCACACUGGACCUCUGUCCAUUUUUAUAAACUUCGCUUUGGGUCAUCAAUAAAACUAAAUGAAGUUCUCUCUUGAUUUUUUGUUAUUGUUGUUCUGCAUACCUGGUAGUGAUCCAGAUACAAAGAUCACAGUUUCCACCUGCCGAAAAAGCAUAGAUUUUUAGAUCUGCACUUGGAGAUAGCCACUGUUGGGUUGCAUUGGACUUUCCAGUGAUAUAUGAAAUAGUGUUAUAAGAGACCCGUUAAAGUUCCG